CACGCCUUAAACGAUGAGUGCUAGUUGUUGGGGGCUUAGUCCCUCAGUGACGAAGCUAACGCGAUAAGCACUCCGCCUGGGAAGUACGGCCGCAAGGUUGAAACUCAAGGAAUUGACGGGGACCCGCACAAGCGGUGGAGCAUGUGGUUUAAUUCGAGGCAACGCGAAGAACCUUACCUACCCUUGACAUGUUAGUGAACCUUUCCAGAGAUGGAUUGGGUGUAGCAAUACACGCUAACACAGGUGC
RNAcentral lists this ribosomal RNA (247 nucleotides) under uncultured bacterium. RNAcentral's name for it is "partial 16S ribosomal RNA". It matches the Rfam family "Bacterial small subunit ribosomal RNA", at positions 796 to 1041 of the family's 1533-position model. The record is from RNAcentral.